Molecule: long non-coding RNA, 152 nt
Organism: Bradysia coprophila
Lineage: Eukaryota; Metazoa; Arthropoda; Insecta; Diptera; Sciaridae
Source: RefSeq, a predicted model, not a curated record
UGUGAAAGUUUCAACUUCUCACAUUACCUUUAUGCUGCAACUGUAUUGAAUCCAAACACUUUUCACAAGCAAUCUGUCUUCUCUCGUUUUCUUCGCACUUGAUUGAUCAGUUCUCUUCAAUUUAUUCCGAGCACUCACAAUCACAUUGAUCA